This 787-nucleotide ribosomal RNA is filed under the name uncultured bacterium. Its description in RNAcentral is "bacterial SSU rRNA". It matches the Rfam family "Bacterial small subunit ribosomal RNA", at positions 61 to 836 of the family's 1533-position model. The record is from RNAcentral.
GUCAGGGAGAAGUCUCUUCGGGGAUGAUUAAACCGGCGCACGGGUGAGUAACACGUGAGUGACCUGCCUUUUAGACUGGAACAACUUACCGAAAGGUGAGCUAAUGCCGGAUGAGUUAUAUAAGUGCAUGUUUAUAUAGGAAAAGUUGGGGAGACCUGACGCUGAAAGAUGGACUCGCGUCCCAUUAGCUAGUUGGUAGGGUAAUGGCCUACCAAGGCGACGAUGGGUAGCCGGCCUGAGAGGGUGGCCGGCCACACUGGGACUGAGACACGGCCCAGACUCCUACGGGAGGCAGCAGUGGGGAAUUUUGCGCAAUGCUCGUAAGAGUGACGCAGCGACGCCGCGUGAAUGACGAAGGCCUUCGGGUCGUAAAGUUCUUUCGACAGGGAAGAAAAUGCCUAUAAGUAACUGUGUAUGUAUUGACGGUACCUGUAUAAGCAGCCCCGGCUAACUCCGUGCCAGCAGCCGCGGUAAUACGGAGGGGGCGAGCGUUGUUCGGAGUGACUGGGCGUAAAGAGCACGUAGGCGGUGUUGUAAGUCAUUAGUCAAAGACUAGAGCUCAACUUUAGUAAGGCUAGUGAUACUAUAAUACUAGAGUAUCAGAGAGGAUUGCAGAAUUCCUGGUGUAGCGGUGAAAUGCGUAGAUAUCAGGAGGAAUACCGUUAGCGAAGGCGGCAAUCUGGCUGGAAACUGACGCUGAGGUGCGAAAGCGUGGGUAGNCAACAGGAUUAGAUACNCUGGUAGUCCACGCCGUAAACGAUGGAUGCUAGGUGUUGGGCUUUUAAGU